UGCUGCUACAGAAACUUCACCCACAGCUACCAUGACUUUGAUCCCCGUCUUCAUCUGGACACUGAUCCUCUGGACUCAAGAAUGCAGAGGUCAAGCAACAGUAACUCAGACUCCUGCAGUGAAAUCUGUUCUUCCAGGAGAAACAGUCAGCAUCAACUGUAAAACCAAUCAGGCAGUGUACAAGGAUUCACAUGGUGAACGCUUGGCCUGGUAUCAGCAGAAACCUGGAGAAGCUCCUAAACUCCUGAUUAAACUUGCCAAUCAGCUACAGUCGGGUUUUCCAGCUCGCUUCAGUGGCAGUGGAUCUGGAUCUGAUUUCACUCUGACCAUCAGUGGAGUCCAGACUGAAGAUGCAGGAGAUUAUUACUGUCAGAGUUACCAUUAUAUCAGUAGCACAUGGCUGUUCACACAGUGAUAUAGAGUCGUACAAAAACCUCCCUCAGUCAGAUAGUAGAGAAACUGCACUGCUGCAGCUGGGAGCGACUGCAGGUGCUGAGUUACAAGAUGUGAUACGAUGCAAUGACACAACCUCAGUGAGCAUUUGUAUGACUUUAAUUGUUGCUCCAUUACAUAGAGCACAGUGUAGAUACAAAAUGUUGAACUUUGUUCUGUGUAAUUUCAUCACAGCUCUACAUUUGGUAGUACCACACUGUACACACUCCAUCACACCACACUACACAUUCCAUCACAC
Molecule: non-coding RNA, 691 nt
Organism: Silurus meridionalis
Lineage: Eukaryota; Metazoa; Chordata; Actinopteri; Siluriformes; Siluridae
Source: the annotation of a RefSeq genome assembly